CGCAAGACCUCGCGCGACUGGAGCGGCCGAUAUCAGAUUAGGUAAUUGGUGAGGUAAAGGCUCACCAAGCCGACGAUCUGUAGCUGGUCUGAGAGGACGACCAGCCACACUGGGACUGAGACACGGCCCAGACUCCUACGGGAGGCAGCAGUGGGGAAUUUUGGACAAUGGGCGCAAGCCUGAUCCAGCCAUGCCGCGUGCGGGAAGAAGGCCUUCGGGUUGUAAACCGCUUUUGUCAGGGAAGAAAAGGUUCUGGCUAAUACCUGGGACUCAUGACGGUACCUGAAGAAUAAGCACCGGCUAACUACGUGCCAGCAGCCGCGGUAAUACGUAGGGUGCAAGCGUUAAUCGGAAUUACUGGGCGUAAAGCGUGCGCAGGCGGUUAUGCAAGACAGAGGUGAAAUCCCCGGGCUCAACCUGGGAACUGCCUUUGUGACUGCAUGGCUAGAGUGCGGUAGAGGGGGAUGGAAUUCCGCGUGUAGCAGUGAAAUGCGUAGAUAUGCGGAGGAACACCGAUGGCGAAGGCAAUCC
RNAcentral lists this ribosomal RNA (531 nucleotides) under uncultured Roseateles sp. RNAcentral's name for it is "bacterial SSU rRNA". It matches the Rfam family "Bacterial small subunit ribosomal RNA", at positions 207 to 727 of the family's 1533-position model. The record is from RNAcentral. Lineage: Bacteria; Pseudomonadati; Pseudomonadota; Betaproteobacteria; Burkholderiales; Sphaerotilaceae.